CUUUUACCAGGAGCUCCCAUGUCAUGGCCACUUGUCUCUGUAUAUAAAGGGAGUGAUGGGGGUGCUGCUUUGGACAAAUGGACCUGGGGUGGGGGAAAGGGGCAGCAGACAGAGGCUGCCUUGGCAAGGAUAUCUCUGCUGUUGGCCAGAAAUUGGAAAUGUAAGAAGAUGGUGAAGUACCACAGAUGUAAGUGUUCAGUAUGCUGUGUCAAGGAUUCACUACAGAGAAAAAAAUCAAAGAAGUUAUGCCAGAAAAAGAACAAGAAGACAAGUCAGCAGCUUAAGGCAAUGCCCUGGUUGAAGACACUGCUUGACAUCUUGUUUUUCCAUGUCGUGUUUUCUCCCAUGGCCAGGAAAAAGAAAAGCCUCUCCUGGUGCAGGCCCAAGGCCACCAUGAUCAUCGUUGAUUUUACAUCUCCACCCCAGGGUGUCUAAGUAAAAUCUCUCUCCUUUCACUGAAGAAUGUGUUUUGUGUGUUUUUGCUCAGCUGAAAGGCUCAGUGCAUAUUCACAUCUGUUACCAGCAAGAAUGGGCUUGGGUGUCACUGGAAACAAGGAGAACAGAAUCUAAGGAUUCUUAAGCCCAGAGAAAGCUCUGACUUCCCCAUUUUCUCUGAGACUUCACACUAGAUCUUUUAAGGUUCACAACAUGGAUAAGUGGUUACCUUCAUGAAAGAACUUGGUAGAGUGGCUCCAGCAGGCCAAAGGUGGUCCCCCAAAGGAGAAUGGAGGCCAGUACAAAGCACUGGGGAAGAAAGAAGCACACCAGAGUUGGAAAGCACGCGAUGAACCAGUGAAGGGGAUCUGAAGGGACCUGCGCAGAGCCCUGGUGGUUUUCACUAUGUGGACCUCGAAAAAUCCAGCUUAUCAGAGGCUCAGGGGCCUCAGAUGUGUGAUUUGGGCAGCUAGUGUCCUGGGAGGUUGGGGAAACAUUAGUCAAGUCAGGGAGGAUCAGAUCAUCUCUUGCAGAGGUAAACAUAGAGGUGGGGGACAAUGCUUUCCAGGCUGGAGAACCAGUGACAAGAAUGGUCAAGGCAAAUCCAGGGACAUGGACUCUACUUCAGGGAAGCCUCAUACAUGAGGCCAAGGAACUUGCUGGAGUUUGUACUUUGCUUCUGUGUAUUAGCAUCAUGCCAUAAUGUCAUCCUCAAAAAUCAUACAUGACUCAGGCACGGUACCUACCACCCAGUAGGUCCUGGGAGUAAGCUGGGCUGAAACCAAAAGAUGUGCUUGCUGAAGGAAGGGACCAGUCUUCCCUGUACUAGCUUUAGAUGGAUCUGGAUGGCACCCUGUCUGCUGG
Mustela erminea (ermine) is the source of this 1299-nucleotide long non-coding RNA. RefSeq lists it as uncharacterized. The record is from RefSeq and is a predicted model, not a curated record. The transcript is spliced from 4 exons. NCBI's taxonomy places the organism in Eukaryota, Metazoa, Chordata, Mammalia, Carnivora, Mustelidae.